GAUGAACGCUGGCGGCGUGCCUAAUACAUGCAAGUAGAACGCGGAAGGAGGAGCUUGCUCUUCUGGAAGAGUUGCGAACGGGUGAGUAACGCGUAGGUAACCUGCCUGGUAGCGGGGGAGAACUAUUGGAAACGAUAGCUAAUAACGCAUGACAACAGUUAUUGCAUGAUAACUGUUUAAAAGGGGCAACUGCUCCACUACCAGAUGGACCUGCGUUUUCUUAGCUAGUUGGUGAGGUAACGGCUCACCAAGGCCACGGUACAUAGCCGACCGGAGAGGGUGGUCGGCCACCAUGGGCCCUGGACACCGCCCCGACUCCUUCGGGAGGCAGCCGUAGGGGAUCCUCGGCCAUAGACGGAAGUCUGACCGAGCCACGCCGCGUGGGUGGAGAAGGUUUUCGGAUCGUUAAGCUCUGUUUUAAGGGAAGAACGAGUGUGAGGGUGGACAGUUCACACUGUGACGGUAUCUUACCAGAAAGGGACGGCUAACUACGUG
This 495-nucleotide ribosomal RNA is filed under the name uncultured bacterium. RNAcentral's name for it is "partial 16S ribosomal RNA". It matches the Rfam family "Bacterial small subunit ribosomal RNA", at positions 28 to 507 of the family's 1533-position model. The record is from RNAcentral.